GAGCGGCCCCUGCUGACCACACGGGCAGAGUACACGGGAAGCGCGGUGUUGGGUGUGGACAGUGAUCUGAGCCUGUCCACGGCUUUGGUUGGAAAGAUUGAAUUCUGCUGGCAUCCAUGCAAGCUGGAAUACAGGAAGGAAAGGGGAAAGCCGUGGUCUCUUCACUCCGUUGGUGACGAGGUAUUAGCUUCUGCGAUGUGCCAGCACCAGAGGCUCUGCCUCCUACGGUCUUGUUUGAAGACACAGCAGAUGACUUCUUGGCACAAACAGAGGUCUCUGACUGGGGAGGUAUCAAAGAUGCCAGAAGGCGAACCAGCGACAGACAGCAGGUGACAUACAAGGACCCUCAAAGAGGUCUCGGCUCAGAUGGGAUGCCCUCCUUCCAGGCUGAACUAAACCUCUUCCUCCUGUGGGAAACAGCCCCAGAGACGUGAGGAAGCUCCACCCCAGAUCACACGGCAAGGCAGCAGGUGUUGAGGCCGGAGCCUGCACCCGUGCCGCGUUUUGGGGGGUGCUUUGGGGGAUAAAGCACUCUGGCCCCUAUCAUGGCAAUACUCCGUAAUCCUGGAGUCCCCAAGAAAACAGAUGAAACCCAGCUUCUGGCUGGCCGGAUGGGCCGCGGCGCUGUCCGAGGUUCUGAACGGCAUCUCCGCACCCCGCCCUCCGCCUGCCAGAGCCUCGGCAGUCACCGGUCACCGGGACUUAAUUCGCAAGUGCCCAGCUCUGCGGCUCCCCCCGCGCAGCUCCCUGCAGCUGUGCUCACCUGGGCCAUGGAUUCCACUGCAACGAACUCCAGGGAACUUUGAAAAUUAUUUUUUUCCACUGGAAUGUGUGUGUGCUAUAGUUUCAUUGUUCUUAAUGACAUGAGAGAUGUAUGGGUAACCGGCUGAAAGUUGGGGUGCUGCUGUACUCUGUGCCUAGCUCUGGUCUCCAUGGGGGAUAUAAGUAAAAACAGCACAAGGCCUGGGUCCACCCCAUGGAGCACAGUCUAGGGGGAGAGACCUCCCGUGCGGUUGCCGGACUGGGCGUGUG
This 1032-nucleotide long non-coding RNA is filed under the name Homo sapiens (human). Its description in RNAcentral is "HSALNT0270433". Lineage: Eukaryota; Metazoa; Chordata; Mammalia; Primates; Hominidae. The record is from RNAcentral.